UAAUUAAGAUUAGUCCUUAUACCAAACUCCACUGGUGGACUAGCUGGUCGAGGAUGUACCCUUAACAUGAUUCCAGGUGCACAUCAAAAAAUGUGAAAGCUCCUUCUGGACCAACUUGAUCUUGGAGAGAAGCAGCCUAAGCAUAAAAUGAACAGCACCAAUCUUGCACCCAAGGAACUGAACCACCUUGGAUAGAAUCAAGGCCGACUUCAUUAACAACAAAGCCUAAGUCCUUCAGAAGGCUGACCACCAGCCAAAUCUGUUCUAUUAGCAAGGAUGAUUUAAAUGAAAAGAGAAGGAUGUUGUCCAGAUAAAUUAUUGAACGCAUCCCCUGAGCACGAAAUUGAGCCACAGCUAGUUUUAAAAGCUUGUUGAAGCACCAAAUAACAGAACUCAGACCAAAAGAAAGGUACGUGAAUUGUGAAACGCACCUGCUCCACUAGAAGCAAAAUAACCUCAAAUAACCCUGAUGAAUCUGAAAUCUCCCAUCUUUUUCUUGAUCAGAAAGAGAUUGCUCAAAACCCUGUUGGCAUCCGGAGCUAUCUCAAUAGAGUGCUUCUCCAGAAGAUUCUCCACCUUGUUUUUUGAUUAGAGACAUCCACAGACGGUUGGCCAGAAAAGGGUGCAGAGGCAUGACCUGAAAGGGAAGCUGAGAAAACUAUCACAUAUCCUUUAACAGUUUGCAAGACACAAGUUUGCCCACUUUUGAGGGGGAGGUAGAAUGGGUGAUGAAGAAAAAGGACCCAGAGAGAGCAUGGCUCAACAAUUGUCUCUAUUACCACAAACCCUGCCUGAGCCCUGUAAAUACUGGAAACUGGCUCUGGAUUAGAUAGUCUGGAUAGAAGAGAAGAAUCUGGUGAGCACCUAUGGCAUUGAAGGACUAAAACAGCUGGAGGCUUGCCCCCACUGCCUUCAAGCCCCAAGCUAAAAAUCUUUCUGUUGGAUGGAACACCUUUAUCAGUGGCUUGAACUUUAUUCAAGGACAUGUACAAGGAAACUCUGAGCACCCGGGCCAAGUCCUUCAUUUCCCAAUUCACCCAGCUCUUUGUCCAAGCAUACCAGUACUCAGAGGAGAAGGCUACAUUUUUAGUUUCCCUAGAAGGCAAAUGGAGCAUUGCAGCCACUCGCUGACAAUUUGGGAAUCCAGUGAUAUGCUAGAAGAGUACUCUAUCAGCCACAUGUAGCAUUUUAUCUUGUACCGUCUUUAAGCCUUUUAAAAUUUCCUUACAGGGAAUCUCUGUAGCUCUUGGUCAUAAAGCUGGUCAAAAUUUGGCAUUUGGGCAGUUUAUCAGGAACAGAAGACUAUGGAUAUUUAAAAUGCAGCCAGUUAUAGACCUAAUUGUCCAAACACAGGCACACAACCUCUGCAAAAUGAUCUGGCAGGAAUAACUCAGCAGAUCUUGGAUUAAAGAUGGUGCGCAACUCAAACAUAGGAGUCCUGUAUGACCUCAGAGUUAAAAGUUGGAGCAUGGUUUGGAAUUGCCAGCAGCAGAGGUAUGGAGGGGGUUUACCUACUACAGUCUUGUGCACAACGUGAGUGUCCAGUGUAUAAACAUCAUCAGAGUGAAGAGUCAGUUUCCUUGGCUAAGGAAUAUAACAUGGCCCCAUUGAGCUUGGGCAGAGUCAGACCAGCAACUUUUCGCCCUAGACAUGCCCUUAACAUGGGGCUUAGAGUGUUUCUGUGCGUUAUGGUCACACAAUUUUGAGUCACGGGACCAACCUGAAUCAGAAAUAUACACAGCCAUAAUGGCUAUAAGGAGAAAAAUUAAUAAAACAAUCUGGAGGCAGGAGCAGCAAAGAAAGAGGAUGUGAGCUAAAAGGGGCUGCCUUAUACACCCUGUUCCAAAUUAUUAUGCAAAUUCUAUUUGUGUCACAAAGAUUAAAUAUUUUGUUUUUCAGUUUAACUCAUAGAUGGCAUUGUGUCUCAGGGCUCUUUUGAUCACUGAAAACAAUCUCGGACACCUGUGAUAAUUAGAUUGCCAGGUGAGCACAAUUUAAGAAAAAACUACUAAAGGAGGGUGUUCCACAUUAUUAAGCAAAACAUAAUUUUCAUGCUAUAUGGGGAAGAAAAAGGAUCUCUCUACUGCCCAAAAGAGUGAAAUAGUUCAAUGCCUAGAACGAGGUAUGAAAACAUUAGAUAUUUCACGAAAACUUAAGCGUGAUCAUCGCACUAUUAAGAGAUUUGUGGCUGACUCAAAGCACAGACGGGUUCGUGCAGAUAAAGGCACGUUGAGGAAGAUUUCUGCCUGCUCCAUGCAUCGGAUCAAGAGGUGUAAAGAUGACCUCUGCAAAGUAUGUGGAGUUUCUGACUGACCACUUUCUUCCCUGGUACAGAAGGAAGAACUAUGCUUUCCGUAAUAAAAUCAUCUUCAUGCAUGACAAUGCACCAUCUCAUGCUGCAAAGAAUACCUCUGCAUCAAUGGCUGCUAUGGGGAUAAAAGGACAGAAAGUCAUGGUGUGGCCUCCAUCCUCCCCUGACCUCAAUCCUAUUGAGAACCUUUGGAGAAUCCUCAAGCAAAAGAUCUAUGAGGAUGGGAGGCAGUUUACAUUCAAACAGCAGCUCUGGGAGGCUAUUCUGACAUCUUGCAAACAAAUUCAAGCAGAAACUGUCCAAAAACUCACAAGUUCAAUGGAUGCAAGACUUGUGAAGCUGCUAUUAAAUAAAGGGUCCUAUGUUAAAAUGAAACGUGACCUGUUAAAAAUUUUAAAAAGUUAAAAUGUUGUUAUAAGUUUGAUUGAAAUAGCUUUUGAUUUCAGUAAAUAUGCUGCAAACACAACAAAUGACAAUUUUCAGUUCUUUACAACCUAUAAAGUGUUUCGAAACUUACUGUGCGUAAUAAUUUGGAACAGUGCAUUGUAAGUUUUUUAUGUUUAAAGAAAAUACUGUUAUCAUUAGGC
Molecule: long non-coding RNA, 2898 nt
Filed under: Pelobates cultripes (western spadefoot toad)
Lineage: Eukaryota; Metazoa; Chordata; Amphibia; Anura; Pelobatidae
Source: RNAcentral